GCAAGUCGAGCGAACAGAUAAGGAGCUUGCUCCUUUGACGUUAGCGGCGGACGGGUGAGUAACACGUGGAUAACCUACCUAUAAGACUGGGAUAACUUCGGGAAACCGGAGCUAAUACCGGAUAACAUAUUGAACCGCAUGGUUCAAUAGUGAAAGGCGGCUUUGCUGUCACUUAUAGAUGGAUCCGCGCCGUAUUAGCUAGUUGGUAAGGUAACGGCUUACCAAGGCAACGAUACGUAGCCGACCUGAGAGGGUGAUCGGCCACACUGGAACUGAGACACGGUCCAGACUCCUACGGGAGGCAGCAGUAGGGAAUCUUCCGCAAUGGGCGAAAGCCUGACGGAGCAACGCCGCGUGAGUGAUGAAGGUCUUCGGAUCGUAAAACUCUGUUAUCAGGGAAGAACAAAUGUGUAAGUAACUGUGCACAUCUUGACGGUACCUGAUCAGAAAGCCACGGCUAACUACGUGCCAGCAGCCGCGGUAAUACGUAGGUGGCAAGCGUUAUCCGGAAUUAUUGGGCGUAAAGCGCGCGUAGGCGGUUUUUUAAGUCUGAUGUGAAAGCCCACGGCUCAACCGUGGAGGGUCAUUGGAAACUGGAAAACUUGAGUGCAGAAGAGGAAAGUGGAAUUCCAUGUGUAGCGGUGAAAUGCGCAGAGAUAUGGAGGAACACCAGUGGCGAAGGCGACUUUCUGGUCUGUAACUGACGCUGAUGUGCGAAAGCGUGGGGAUCAAACAGGAUUAGAUACCCUGGUAGUCCACGCCGUAAACGAUGAGUGCUAAGUGUUAGGGGGGUUUCCGCCCCUUAGUGCUGCAGCUAACGCAUUAAGCACUCCGCCUGGGGGAGUACGACCGCCAGGUUGAAACUCAAAGGAAUUGACGGGGGACCCGC
RNAcentral lists this ribosomal RNA (889 nucleotides) under Staphylococcus sp. ChST9.4. Its description in RNAcentral is "bacterial SSU rRNA". It matches the Rfam family "Bacterial small subunit ribosomal RNA", at positions 57 to 924 of the family's 1533-position model. The record is from RNAcentral. Lineage: Bacteria; Bacillati; Bacillota; Bacilli; Caryophanales; Staphylococcaceae.